RNAcentral lists this ribosomal RNA (497 nucleotides) under uncultured bacterium. Its description in RNAcentral is "partial 16S ribosomal RNA". It matches the Rfam family "Bacterial small subunit ribosomal RNA", at positions 28 to 507 of the family's 1533-position model. The record is from RNAcentral.
GAUGAACGCUGGCGGCGUGCCUAAUACAUGCAAGUCGAGCGAACAGACGAGGAGCUUGCUCCUCUGACGUUAGCGGCGGACGGGUGAGUAACACGUGGAUAACCUACCUAUCAGACUGGGAUAACUUCGGGAAACCGGAGCUAAUACCGGAUAAUAUAUUGAACCGCAUGGUUCAAUAGUGAAAGACGGUUUUGCUGUCACUUAUAGAUGGAUCCGCGCCGCAUUAGCUAGUUGGUAAGGUAACGGCUUACCAAGGCAACGAUGCGUAGCCGACCUGAGAGGGUGAUCGGCCACACUGGAACUGAGACACGGUCCAGACUCCUACGGGAGGCAGCAGUAGGGAAUCUUCCGCAAUGGGCGAAAGCCUGACGGAGCAACGCCGCGUGAAUGAUGAAGGUCUUCGGAUCGUAAAACUCUGUUAUUAGGGAAGAACAAAUGUGUAAGUAACUAUGCACGUCUUGACGGUACCUAAUCAGAAAGCCACGGCUAACUACGUG